This 329-nucleotide unclassified non-coding RNA is filed under the name soil metagenome. Its description in RNAcentral is "partial contains 5.8S ribosomal RNA, internal transcribed spacer 2, and large subunit ribosomal RNA". The stretch from base 1 to 120 matches the Rfam family "5.8S ribosomal RNA", at positions 35 to 154 of the family's 154-position model. The record is from RNAcentral.
GAUGAAGAACGUAGCGAAAUGCGAUAAGUAAUGUGAAUUGCAGAAUUCAGUGAAUCAUCGAAUCUUUGAACGCACAUUGCGCCCCCUGGUAUUCCGGGGGGCAUGCCUGUCCGAGCGUCAUUACAACCCUCAAGCUCAGCUUGGUGUUGGGCCCCGCCGCCCCGGCGGGCCCUAAAGUCAGUGGCGGUGCCGUCCGGCUCCGAGCGUAGUAAUUCUUCUCGCUCUGGAGGUCCGGUCGUGUGCUCGCCAGCAACCCCCAAUUUUUUUCAGGUUGACUUCGGAUCAGGUAGGGAUACCCGCUGAACUUAAGCAUAUCAAUAAGCGGAGGA